GAUCGGCUUGGCGCAUGUCAGGCUGUUUAAAGGAGCAAUCCGCUUAAAGAUGAGCUUGCGGCCCAUUAGUUAGUUGGCGGGGUAACGGCCCACCAAGACCGCGAUGGGUAGCCGGCCUGAGAGGGUGGACGGCCACAUGGAACUGAAAUACGCCCAGAUCUACGGAAGGCAGCAGUAAGGAAUUUGCGCAUGGACGAAGUCUGACGCAGCACGCGCGUGAGGGAUGACGGCUUCGGUGUAACCUCUGUGAAUGGGAAAAAAGGUAGCAAUAUUUGAUGGUACCAUUCGAGUAAGCACCGGCUAACUACGUGCCAGCAGCCGCGGUAAUACGUAGGGUGCAAGCGUGUUCGGAAUCACUGGGCGUAAAGAGAGCGUAGGCGGGAUCGUAAGUUAGGAGUUUAAUCCACGGGCUCAACCUGUGGUCGGCUUUUAAUACUGCGGUUCUUGAGUAUGGGAGAGGGCGAUGGAAUUCCAGGUGUAGCGGUGGAAUGCGUAGAUAUCUGGAAGAACACCAGUAGCGAAGGCGGUCGCCUGGCCCAAUACUGACGCUGAGGCUCGAAAGCUAGGGGAGCAAACAGGAUUAGAUAUCCUGGUAGUCCUAGCCGUAAACGAUGAACACUAGUUGCUGGAGGAGUCAAUCUUUUCGGUGACGAAGCUAACGCAUUAAGUGUUCCGCCUGGGAAGUACGCUCGCAAGAGUGAAACUCAAAGGAAUUGACGGGGGCCCGCACAAGCGGUGGAGCAUGUGCUUUAAUUCGAUGCAACGCGAAGAACCUUACCUAGGCUUGACAUGGGGGUGAAAUUCUGUAGAAAUAUGGAGCCUUCCGCAAGGAACACCCUACACAGGUGCUGCAUGGUUGUCGUCAGCUCGUGUCGUGAGAUGUUAGGUUAAGUCCUGCAACGAGCGCAACCCUCGUCCUUAGUUGCUAACAGGUUACGCUGAGAACUCUAAGGAGACUGCCUGGUUUAACCAGGAGGAAGGGGGGGAUGACGUCAAAUCCUCAUGGCCCUUACGCCUAGGCUAGACACGUGCUACAUGGCUGGUACACGAGCUGCAAGUCAGUGAUGACAGCUAAUCUUCAAAACCAGUCUCAGUACGGAUGGAAGUCGGCAUUCGACUUCUGAACCUGCAAUCGCUAGUAAUCGCGAUAAGCAUGCCGAGGUGAAUACGUUCACGGGCCGUGUACAAACCGCCCGUCAAGCCAUGAAAGAUGGCAGUACCCGAAGUCGCUUCUCUAACCGCAAGGAAGAGUGCGCCGAAGGUAAGGCUGUUGAUUGGGGCUAAGUCGUAACAAGGUAACC
This 1301-nucleotide ribosomal RNA is filed under the name uncultured microorganism. RNAcentral's name for it is "bacterial SSU rRNA". It matches the Rfam family "Bacterial small subunit ribosomal RNA", at positions 173 to 1501 of the family's 1533-position model. The record is from RNAcentral.